This 971-nucleotide ribosomal RNA is filed under the name uncultured bacterium. RNAcentral describes it as "bacterial SSU rRNA". It matches the Rfam family "Bacterial small subunit ribosomal RNA", at positions 8 to 976 of the family's 1533-position model. The record is from RNAcentral.
AGAGUUUGAUCAUGGCUCAGGAUGAACGCUAGCGGCAGGCUUAAUACAUGCAAGUCGUGGGGCAGCACAGGUAGCAAUACUGGGUGGCGACCGGCAAACGGGUGCGGAACACGUACGCAACCUUCCUUUAAGCGGAGAAUAGCCCAGGGAAACUUGGAUUAAUACUCCAUAAUACAAUUAGGUGGCAUCACUUGAUUGUUAAAGCUCCGGCACUUAAAGAUGGGCGUGCGGCUGAUUAGGUAGUUGGCGGGGUAACGGCCCACCAAGCCGACGAUCAGUAACUGGUGUGAGAGCACGACCAGUCACACGGGCACUGAGACACGGGCCCGACUCCUACGGGAGGCAGCAGUAAGGAAUAUUGGUCAAUGGACGCAAGUCUGAACCAGCCAUGCCGCGUGGAGGAUGAAGGCCCUCUGGGUUGUAAACUUCUUUUAUUGGGGAAGAAACCGGUUCUUUCUAGAGCCGUUGACGGUACCCAUUGAAUAAGCACCGGCUAACUCCGUGCCAGCAGCCGCGGUAAUACGGAGGGUGCAAGCGUUAUCCGGAUUCACUGGGUUUAAAGGGUGCGUAGGUGGGCAGGUAAGUCAGUGGUGAAAUCUCCGGGCUUAACCCGGAAACUGCCGUUGAUACUAUCUGUCUUGAAUGUAGUGGAGGUGAGCGGAAUAUGUCAUGUAGCGGUGAAAUGCUUAGAUAUGACAUAGAACACCCAUUGCGAAGGCAGCUCGCUACACUACUAUUGACACUGAGGCACGAAAGCGUAGGGAUCAAACAGGAUUAGAUACCCUGGUAGUCCACGCCCUAAACGAUGGAUACUCGACAUCAGCGAUACACUGUUGGUGUCUGAGCGAAAGCAUUAAGUAUCCCACCUGGGAAGUACGACCGCAAGGUUGAAACUCAAAGGAUUUGACGGGGGUCCGCACAAGCGGUGGAGCAUGGUGGUUUAAUUCGAUGAUACGCGAGGAACCUUACCU